AUGAACGCUGGCGGUAUGCUUAACACAUGCAAGUCGAACGGUCACUUCGGUGAUAGUGGCGGACGGGUGAGUAACGCGUGAGAAUCUGUCUUCAGGUCGGGGACAACAGUUAGAAAUGACUGCUAAUACCGGAUGUGCCUUUGGGUGAAAGAUUUAUUGCCUGAAAAAGAGCUCGCGUCAGAUUAGCUAGUAGGUGGUGUAAGAGACUACCUAGGCUCCGAUCUGUAGCUGGUCUGAGAGGACGAUCAGCCACACUGGAACUGAGACACGGUCCAGACUCCUACGGGAGGCAGCAGUGGGGAAUUUUCCGCAAUGGGCGAAAGCCUGACGGAGCAAUACCGCGUGAGGGACGAAGGCUUUUGGGUCGUAAACCUCUUUUCUCAAGGAAGAUGAUGACAGUACUUGAGGAAUAAGCAUCGGCUAACUCUGUG
RNAcentral lists this ribosomal RNA (431 nucleotides) under uncultured bacterium. RNAcentral's name for it is "partial 16S ribosomal RNA". It matches the Rfam family "Bacterial small subunit ribosomal RNA", at positions 29 to 507 of the family's 1533-position model. The record is from RNAcentral.